GAUGAACGCUGGCGGCGUGCCUAAUACAUGCAAGUCGAGCGAACGGACGAGAAGCUUGCUUCUCUGAUGUUAGCGGCGGACGGGUGAGUAACACGUGGAUAACCUACCCAUAAGACUGGGAUAACUUCGGGAAACCGGAGCUAAUACCGGAUAAUAUUUUGAACCGCAUGGUUCAAAAGUGAAAGACGGUCUUGCUGUCACUUAUAGAUGGAUCCGCGCUGCAUUAGCUAGUUGGUAAGGUAACGGCUUACCAAGGCAACGAUGCAUAGCCGACCUGAGAGGGUGAUCGGCCACACUGGAACUGAGACACGGUCCAGACUCCUACGGGAGGCAGCAGUAGGGAAUCUUCCGCAAUGGGCGAAAGCCUGACGGAGCAACGCCGCGUGAGUGAUGAAGGUUUUCGGAUCGUAAAACUCUGUUAUUAGGGAAGAACAUAUGUGUAAGUAACUGUGCACAUCUUGACGGUACCUAAUCAGAAAGCCACGGCUAACUACGUG
RNAcentral lists this ribosomal RNA (497 nucleotides) under uncultured bacterium. RNAcentral's name for it is "partial 16S ribosomal RNA". It matches the Rfam family "Bacterial small subunit ribosomal RNA", at positions 28 to 507 of the family's 1533-position model. The record is from RNAcentral.